UUGCCAUGAUGGUUCUAUUUUUCGUCAACAGCAUCUCACGUAGUGAAUGGUGACUCGUAUCAGAUCUGAGCAA
This is a small nucleolar RNA of Hemicordylus capensis (graceful crag lizard), 73 nucleotides long. RefSeq annotates it as small nucleolar RNA SNORD56. The transcript has a single exon. The record is from RefSeq and is a predicted model, not a curated record. Lineage: Eukaryota; Metazoa; Chordata; Lepidosauria; Squamata; Cordylidae.